UACGGAGGGGGCAAGCGUUGUUCGGAAUUACUGGGCGUAAAGGGCUCGUAGGCGGCCAACUAAGUCAUACGUGAAAUCCCUCGGCUUAACCGGGGAACUGCGUCUGAUACUGGAUGGCUUGAGUUCGGGAGAGGGAUGCGGAAUUCCAGGUGUAGCGGUGAAAUGCGUAGAUAUCUGGAGGAACACCGGUGGCGAAGGCGGCAUCCUGGACCGAUACUGACGCUGAGUGCGCGAAAGCCAGGGGAGCAAACGGG
Molecule: ribosomal RNA, 254 nt
Filed under: uncultured bacterium
Lineage: Bacteria
Description: partial 16S ribosomal RNA
Rfam family: Bacterial small subunit ribosomal RNA
Source: RNAcentral